AUUGAAAGCUGGCGGCAGGCCUAACACAUGCAAGUCGAGCGAGCGGCGGACGGGUGAGUAAUGUAUGGGGAUCUGCCCGAUAGAGGGGGAUAACUACUGGAAACGGUGGCUAAUACCGCAUACCAUAAGAUGAACACAUAUGGGAUUAGCGAGUAGGUAAGGUAAAGGCUUAACUAGGCGACUGUCCCUAGCUGGUCUGAUAGGAUGAUCAGGUACACUGGAACGUGUACACGGUCCAUACUCCUACGGGAGGCAGCAGUGGGGAAUAUUGGAAAAUGGGCGAAAGCCUGAUCCAGCCAUGCCGCGUGUGUGAAGAAGGUCUUCGGAUUGUAAAGCACUUUCAGCGGGGAGGCGUUACCCGCAGAAGAAGCACCGGCUAACUCCGUGCCAGCAGCCGCGGUAAUUC
This 406-nucleotide ribosomal RNA is filed under the name uncultured bacterium. Its description in RNAcentral is "partial 16S ribosomal RNA". It matches the Rfam family "Bacterial small subunit ribosomal RNA", at positions 30 to 526 of the family's 1533-position model. The record is from RNAcentral.